RNAcentral lists this ribosomal RNA (254 nucleotides) under uncultured bacterium. RNAcentral describes it as "partial 16S ribosomal RNA". It matches the Rfam family "Bacterial small subunit ribosomal RNA", at positions 524 to 776 of the family's 1533-position model. The record is from RNAcentral.
UACGGGGGGGGCAAGCGUUGUUCGGAAUUACUGGGCGUAAAGGGCUCGUAGGCGGCCAACUAAGUCGGACGUGAAAUCCCCAGGCUCAACUUGGGAACUGCGUCCGAUACUGGAUGGCUUGAAUUCGGGAGAGGGAUGCAGAAUUCCAGGUGUAGCGGUGAAAUGCGUAGAUAUCUGGAGGAAUACCGGUGGCGAAGGCGGCAUCCUGGACCAUUUACUGACGCUGAGGCGCGAAAGCUAGGGGAGCAAACGGG